CCAGUUGGGUUCCGACACCGUUCCUUGAGGUUUGAAACUGGGACCAGUUGGGCUCCAUCACCAUUCCUUGAGGUUUUCCAGAGGAAAACCAGUACUAGCACCUGGGCAGAGGAACUGGGACCAGUUGGGCUUGAGGUUUGGAACUGGGACCAGUUGGGCUCCGACACCGUUCCUUGAGGUUUGGAACUGGGACCAGUUGGGGGCUCCAACACCGUUCCUUGAGGUUUGGAACUGGGACCAGUUGGGGGCUCCAACACCGUUCCUUGAGGUUUGGAACUGGGACCAGUUGAGCUCCAGCACCAUUCCUUGAGGUUUUCCAGGUGAAAACCAGUCCCAGCACUUGGGUUGAGGAACUGGGACCAGGUGGGGGCUCCAACACCAUUCCUUGAGGUUUGGAACUGGGACCAGUUCGGCUCUGACACCAUUC
RNAcentral lists this long non-coding RNA (427 nucleotides) under Calidris pugnax (ruff). Its description in RNAcentral is "lncRNA (ENSCPUG00000013038.1)". The record is from RNAcentral. Lineage: Eukaryota; Metazoa; Chordata; Aves; Charadriiformes; Scolopacidae.